This 64-nucleotide ribosomal RNA is filed under the name Thalassospira sp. ER-Se-21-Dark. RNAcentral describes it as "partial 16S ribosomal RNA". It matches the Rfam family "Bacterial small subunit ribosomal RNA", at positions 1 to 62 of the family's 1533-position model. The record is from RNAcentral. Lineage: Bacteria; Pseudomonadati; Pseudomonadota; Alphaproteobacteria; Rhodospirillales; Thalassospiraceae.
UUGAACAUGAGAGUUUGAUCCUGGCUCAGAACGAACGCUGGCGGCAGGCCUAACACAUGCAAGU